UACGUAGGUCCCGAGCGUUGUCCGGAUUUAUUGGGCGUAAAGCGAGCGCAGGUGGUUUAUUAAGUCUGGUGUAAAAGGCAGUGGCUCAACCAUUGUAUGCAUUGGAAACAGGUAGACUUGAGUGCAGGAGAGGAGAGUGGAAUUCCAUGUGUAGCGGUGAAAUGCGUAGAUAUAUGGAGGAACACCGGUGGCGAAAGCGGCUCUCUGGCCUGUAACUGACACUGAGGCUCGAAAGCGUGGGGAGCAAACAGG
Molecule: ribosomal RNA, 252 nt
Filed under: uncultured bacterium
Lineage: Bacteria
Description: partial 16S ribosomal RNA
Rfam family: Bacterial small subunit ribosomal RNA
Source: RNAcentral